Molecule: long non-coding RNA, 445 nt
Filed under: Homo sapiens (human)
Lineage: Eukaryota; Metazoa; Chordata; Mammalia; Primates; Hominidae
Description: non-protein coding lnc-PLAT-3:17
Source: RNAcentral
AGAACUGCCCUUGCCUACCGCCCUACUGCGGGCGCUCCCCUGUCUGGGGGGUGCUUGGCUGGGUGUGGAGAAGGAUCAAUCACAGCUGACUCCUCAGAGGUGACAGCCCCUGCCCCCUUAAAAACAAGAAAAGACCUAGCAGUGUGAAGCCAAACUGCACCCCCAGCCCCGGUGACAUGAGGAAACCGUGAGGCGCUCAGCCUGAGGUUCAUCGUUCAUCUCCUUCCUGCUUGGAAUCAGAAUGUCCUCACUGCUGAGUUUCUCCGUUUUAUGGGAUUACAUUAGUGGACAAAGGAGUGAAGCAAAGCAGCACUGAGCUCCUCCAAGUAAAGAAAGAAUUGUUUUCUGUACAACCUGGAGCUGAAUCAUAGAAGGAGAAGACAGCUUGAAAGAUAAGAGGCCGUAAGGCAGACCACAGAGGAUGGGGAGGAUUUCCCCAGCACCC